Molecule: ribosomal RNA, 112 nt
Filed under: Rattus norvegicus (Norway rat)
Lineage: Eukaryota; Metazoa; Chordata; Mammalia; Rodentia; Muridae
Source: RNAcentral
UAUAGCAUAAAACCACCCUGAACGCGCCCGAUCUUGUCUGAUCUCGGAAGCUAAGCAGAGUCGGGCCUGGUUAGUACUUGGAUGGGAGAUGAAAGAUGGCUUAAUGCCAUCC